UGGACUCAGUCUCCUGACUUCAUGAUCUGCCCGCCUCGGCCUCCCAAAGUGCUGGGAUUACAGGAAUGAGCCACCCCGCCAGGCCAACACUGGUCCCCUUGAAGGAAAAAUGGGCAGCUGACUAAUCCUUGCCAAGCUCUGGCCUGGAUGAAAAAUUGAAUCAUUCCUUUCCCUCUUCCUCCCUAACCUGUUCUUUCUUUCCACUAGAAUCCUUGCCCAGAGUCCAGCACCUCCUUCCUGUCCAGGAUCACCUUCUGGUGGAUCACAGGGUUGAUCAUCCUGGGCAGCCACCAACCCCUGGAGAGCAGUGGCCUCUGGUCCUUAAACAAGGAGGACACAUCGGAAUAAGUCAUGCCUGCUUUGGUAAAGAACUGGAAGAAGAAAUGCACCAAGUCUAGGAACUACUCAAAGGCUAAGGUGGAAGAAUCACUUGAACCCAGGAGGCGGAGGAUGCAGUGAGCCAGUAUCACACCAGGGCACUCCAGCAUGGGAGACAGAGAGUCCAUCUCAAUCUUUCCAUAGUCCAUCUCUAUAUGGUCUCCUGAUGUGGGGCCAGCUUUGCAAAAUGUGGAUGAGAAGUAUUUGUUCAGUACCUGCUGUGCAUUGUUUUAUGUACUGAAGAUACAGCAGCCUACCUGGAGCUGACAUUCUAAUGGGGAAAGAAAAUAAAUGCUUGGGAACCAAGAGGCUAUGCCCUUCCCUUCUUGCGUUUUCUUACAUCCUGGUCCUGGGAAGUGAGCUUCACAGAGCAGAGAUGCUGUUAUCUGGGCUGGGUUUUACCCGUCGCUGCUGGUACAGGA
This is a long non-coding RNA of Sapajus apella (tufted capuchin), 800 nucleotides long. RefSeq lists it as uncharacterized. The transcript has 5 exons. The record is from RefSeq and is a predicted model, not a curated record. NCBI's taxonomy places the organism in Eukaryota, Metazoa, Chordata, Mammalia, Primates, Cebidae.